Pelodiscus sinensis (Chinese soft-shelled turtle) is the source of this 1993-nucleotide non-coding RNA. The record is from RefSeq and is a predicted model, not a curated record. NCBI's taxonomy places the organism in Eukaryota, Metazoa, Chordata, Testudines, Trionychidae.
UGUGUGAAAGGGGUAUGAAUGUGUCGAGAUAAGGUGCAGUUAUUUCUCAGAACCAGAUGGUCCAAGAAGGAGGGGGAGCAAGCGUGGGAGAAGACUAGACAACCUGGAGUAAAAAAUGAGUACCCCUACUCACAAGGUGAUUGGAUAUUGGCAGAUUGACGGCUUUAAAGCAAAGCAAGCACCCUGAAAAGACGAUUGAUUACAGGAUGAGCCUUGGAGGAUGUUUUGGGAACACUCACAUCAAAAGAUAAUGCUCCGGUCACAGAAUGACACAGCGGAAUACAUUGAUUUCAACGGAGAAAAGGAUUAUAAAAGCAAGUCUGUAGGAGCCCAGAACAGAGUCGAGUGAUCUCUACCAAUCUACUUCCUGGCCAUCUAACUUGGAAAUAGAUUACAUCUUUUUCCUCAUUUAAAAUCUAAAAGAAAAGCCAAACAAAAUUCAAAGCCCGUCCUGGAAACUUUGAUUUGAAAGGAUCUUUGUACUGUAAGAAAUGACUGAAAGAAAUGGAGAAGACUUCAAUGAAAGGUAUUGCUGUGUACAGAAACAACACUGAAAUCACAAAGACUCAUGUCACAAAGACCACACUGAAGAGCUACUACUGGAAAGUAACUUCGGCUACAUAGACCUGUUAAUCCAGGAAUGAACAGUUGUGUUAUUCCAGAUCUCUUGCUAUUCAAUCUGUGUUAUGAUAUAGUUAGGAGUAUCUCAUAUUUUCAAAUGUAAGCCUUACUUUGAAUGAUUAAACUUUCAAAUUUCUAGAGUUAUGUAUAUUUUUCAAAUCAGGGUGUGGCCAGGUUUUUUCAACCCUGUAGUCACAUCACACUUUUAGCAUGACCCAAGUGAUUUUUAAUACAACUGAGGGACAUCUUACAUGGGUCAACUUAGUGAAACCUUUAAUUAACCACAUCCUGAUUAACUGAAACACUUGGUUAUUCAAAGGUCUAAUAUUUCACCCAAGUUUUGACAUCAGCACAUAACUCUUUAUGCACUGGUCUGGCUUCACUGCCUAAGUGCACACAGAGUUACAAAUGGAGGCCUUUAUGCCUGAUUCAGGACAUUAAAACUUCACUGCACAAAGAUUUAUAUGAUUAAGUCUGGCCAUCACAUAAAGAUGUAUGUACUGAAAUCCUGGAGAGCAGCUGCUACUAUCUCAUAUUGAACCUAGCAUCUGUGAGGAAGCCAGCUAUCCAUCUGAGUGAGAGUGAGGUCCCAUGUGCAGAAUUUAAAGCCAACUGAAUCAGCUCCACCAUUAUCAAAACCCCUAGUUUUCUGGAAGUUUCCAAUGUCACUUGAGAUCUGUUCAACUGUAUCUGGUUUUCUUCCAUUUUGAAACAAUAUGAUCUGACAUUUUUGAAAUGUAUGGAAAUGGAUGUGAAAAUGGGUAGGUUCCUGUUAAUUAAAAACAGUAAAUGCCAUGAAUAUAAAUAUACUUUCCUUUUGCUAGACACUCAAAAAUGGACAACCUUCGUUGCUGCCCUACAUGCCAGUGGGCAUAAUAGGCAUUAACUUAACUUGCUAGACACUCAAUAAUCAAUCCUUUAAACCUUUACAAUUUCUCCUCUCCUCGUGAAAAUAAAGUAGUAAUAAACUGUAAGCAUUCAAAUUCCAAGGAUAGUAGCACUAAAUAAAAACCACCAUAUUCAUUAUCUUCUGAAAAUAUAUACUGAGAUAAAGCUCAGCUUAGCACAAAAAAGGAUAAACAUAGGGCUUGUUUCAGCACCAUUAAAGUAAAUGAGAGUUUUGCCCUUGAGUGCAAUGGAAACAGCAGUGCCUCAUCUUUCUUCUGUAAACACAUAGUUCCACUGACAUCAGAGGGUCAUCACCAAUUAGCACUAGCAUUGCCACUGACCCUUAGUGAAUAGGUAGCAAGAUUUCUAGCAAUGGUAUUAUUUUUCUCAAUGAGCAAGAAUUGGACUUUGAUGUGAAAGCUCUGUAGUCAAAAUGAGCUUCUAUUACCAGCAGAGAAAAAGUUAUACUCUAAGGCUGCAUCUA